UGCUUUGAUCCAGUCAAAGGAGCCAUCCAUGAAAACUUCCCCAUUUCAAACACACAAAUCAGACGCCACAGUGAAUAAGAACUCCAAAUCUCGAUAUAGUAUGGAACCAAAAAUAUUCAAUAAAUCAGAUCUACAAAGAGGAGAGUAAUAUAAAUGUAAGAUCUCGCAGAAAAGACAAAAAAUUAUAUUAAUCUCUUUCUCCUAAAAAUGAAAACCCAACUAAAAUUUGGAAAGCAAUAGCAAAUUCACAGUAUACCGGAUCAAAUAAAGAAUUGCUAUCCGACGACCAGGUAUCACUCAAAAUUAUAUAAGGGAAAAUAAGGAUUAAAAGAUUGAUAAAAAAUAAUAAAUUACAAAUGAUGUGAAAACUAAACAUUUUCGGUUAGAUAUCGAGCAUUUAAACCAGAUCAAUGCACCUACUAACAUAAUUUGCGAAUAGAGAAGCAUCAGUGAAGUUUAAAGUAGUUCAGUUUCGGCUGAAAAUAUUGAACUACUCGAAAACCGAACAGCACAAACAGAAGAACACAAACUGAACCAGAUCCAAUUGACCCUCAAAACUUAAGCACGCAUAUAAACAUGUACAUGCACCUGUAGAGAGAGAGAGAGAGAGAGAGAGAGAGAGAGAGAGAGAGGAUACUUGAAGAGUUCGUGUGGCGAAUUCUACACCAAUGGUAGACUUGGACUCCAAGCAGAACUCGUUGCGAGUAAAUCGAGAGAGCAAAUUCGAUUUUCCAACCCCUGAGUCGCCGAUUAAUACCACUUUGAACAGGUAAUCGUACUCCUCAUCCGGCCUCCUCGCCAUCGCUUUUUCUCUGCUUGAUUUCCUUUCCUUAUUCUUUUCUUUGCUUUUCCUGCGGCUUCAAUUUCUCGUCAAGAAAAAAUCCAUAAAAUCCACUGCUGCAAACGAAUCGGUCCUCCCUCGCAAGUGAGAAACCGAGGAACAAGACGAAUACACGAUGACUCUUUUCAAAUCAAAAUUUCAAGAUCGGCUACAACAGCACGUCUAUAUUAUCUACCGAAAAGCAGAAAAGAUUUCGUGAAAGUGAUAUUACUAUAAUGCCCUCGGCCUCGUAUUGGGAUCUCUUCUCGAGGGAGGGGCAGAAUUGGGAGGACGUGUUAGUAAAAGAAUUUAAACUUCUCUUUUGAAAAUUAUUUGGUAGUUAGUAAUAAUG
RNAcentral lists this long non-coding RNA (1172 nucleotides) under Carica papaya (papaya). Its description in RNAcentral is "long non-coding RNA (CPAP_LNC014714)". Lineage: Eukaryota; Viridiplantae; Streptophyta; Magnoliopsida; Brassicales; Caricaceae. The record is from RNAcentral.